UUUCUGUGUCAACCACCAGAGAGAAGACUUCCUUACUGAGGGUGGGAUGAUGAGGGACUUUGAUAAUAGGUGGACGUAUGGCUUGUAGAUUGCCCUGAGCCACCCCUACAGAUACCUCAUGGGCAAAUUAGCAUUUUACCAUGAAGUUGCAAACUGCCAUAUGACUCAAUAGUUGAAGGCAGUCUUGGCUGUAAUUUUGAGAGAGGACUGUAGAGUCAUGACCAAGUCCAUGAUUUUGUGAAAAUGCUCCAUUAGGAAGGGAAGUGAGUGUACACGCGAAGUCAAGACCAAGAGGUUAGAAGACAUCUCCUGUGAUGGAGAGGGAGCAUCGAGCAUCAGAUUCGGAGCACGCAUUGAGGAGACAGUAGUCGAGCCAGACAGGCUGCGAGAGCGGGGAGGUUGACACCACCUGGGCCAGACUCCCGACACCAGGUGACCCACAGGCGCUGGAGAACCAGAAAGAACUCAUGCAGGAGCACAUCUCUGCACUCCGAUCCCUGCAGGACCAGAGACUGAAGGAGGACAUCCGGGUGUGGCAAGAGACCUGAAGGGAGUUGCUGGAACAGGGCCGCACCAUGCGCAUGGCAGUUCAAGCGCUCACUGUCGGCAUGGUACCUGCUCCUGCUCCUGCUCCUGUUCCACCUAGGUCCAACCAUAGCUCCUGCUCUUCCUUCUCCCCCUAGACCUCCUCCCACUCUGUAGCCGCCGAGGUCCCUGCACCAGAGCCAGGCACCACUCCCAGUCCCAGCCCUGAACCUCUUCUCACCCCUUCGCCCCCUUCCAGCUCCCUCCUCCCCCUCCAAGGUUCUCAU
Long non-coding RNA from Pelodiscus sinensis (Chinese soft-shelled turtle), 812 nucleotides. RefSeq lists it as uncharacterized. The record is from RefSeq and is a predicted model, not a curated record. Lineage: Eukaryota; Metazoa; Chordata; Testudines; Trionychidae.